Molecule: ribosomal RNA, 414 nt
Filed under: Cuneopsis heudei
Lineage: Eukaryota; Metazoa; Mollusca; Bivalvia; Unionida; Unionidae
Description: partial 28S ribosomal RNA
Source: RNAcentral
UGGACCCGCAUACGUCGACCCGGGGGAUUCAACCAGGCCGUUGGGUACGGGACGCGCGGGGGUUACGCUGAGCUGUAAAGCCAGUGCCUUCGCGUGGGUCUCCGGGCGGACUGGUGCACUUUCCUCGGGUCGAUUGCCACGACCGGCUCUCCGUGCGGCCAAAAGCCUGUCGCUGGGAAGGUGACCGACGGCCCCAGUGCCGGCGGUGUUAUAGCCCAGCUCGUUCGUUGCGCUCGUCGGAGGGCCGAGGAAGUGUUGCCGCCUCUCAUCACCCUCCGGCCAUCCUUGCUCGUCACGACUGGGGUGGACUGCUUCGUCAGUGCUCUCCCGACCGCGAGCGUAGGAAGGGUCGGUACGGUGCGAGAAGCUUCGGGCCAGUGGCGAAUCGGUCGGUCCUCCACCCGACCCGUCUUG